Molecule: ribosomal RNA, 554 nt
Filed under: uncultured bacterium
Lineage: Bacteria
Description: bacterial SSU rRNA
Rfam family: Bacterial small subunit ribosomal RNA
Source: RNAcentral
UGGGGAAUAUUGGACAAUGGGCGCAAGCCUGAUCCAGCCAUACCGCGUGGGUGAAGAAGGCCUUCGGGUUGUAAAGCCCUUUUGUUGGGAAAGAAAUCCAGCCGGCUAAUACCUGGUUGGGAUGACGGUACCCAAAGAAUAAGCACCGGCUAACUUCGUGCCAGCAGCCGCGGUAAUACGAAGGGUGCAAGCGUUACUCGGAAUUACUGGGCGUAAAGCGUGCGUAGGUGGUCGUUUAAGUCCGUUGUGAAAGCCCUGGGCUCAACCUGGGAACUGCAGUGGAUACUGGGCGACUAGAGUGUGGUAGAGGGUAGCGGAAUUCCUGGUGUAGCAGUGAAAUGCGUAGAGAUCAGGAGGAACAUCCAUGGCGAAGGCAGCUACCUGGACCAACACUGACACUGAGGCACGAAAGCGUGGGGAGCAAACAGGAUUAGAUACCCUGGUAGUCCACGCCCUAAACGAUGCGAACUGGAUGUUGGGUGCAAUUUGGCACGCAGUAUCGAAGCUAACGCGUUAAGUUCGCCGCCUGGGAGUACGGUCGCAAGACUGAAACU